This 70-nucleotide transfer RNA is filed under the name Simulium vittatum. RNAcentral's name for it is "transfer RNA-Glu". The record is from RNAcentral. Lineage: Eukaryota; Metazoa; Arthropoda; Insecta; Diptera; Simuliidae.
UUUUAUUUAUGUAGUUUAAAAAAAACUUUACAUUUUCACUGUAACGAUAAAAAAUUAUUUUUUAUAAAUU